RNAcentral lists this ribosomal RNA (783 nucleotides) under uncultured marine bacterium. RNAcentral's name for it is "bacterial SSU rRNA". It matches the Rfam family "Bacterial small subunit ribosomal RNA", at positions 14 to 794 of the family's 1533-position model. The record is from RNAcentral.
UGAUCCUGGCUCAGAUUGAACGCUGGCGGCAGGCCUAACACAUGCAAGUCGAACGGUAACAUUUAUAGCUUGCUAUAAGAUGACGAGUGGCGGACGGGUGAGUAAUGCUUAGGAACUUGCCUUUUGGUGGGGGAUAACAGUUGGAAACGACUGCUAAUACCGCAUAAUGUCUUUGGACCAAAGGGGGCUUCGGCUCUCACCAAGAGAGAGGCCUAAGUGAGAUUAGUUAGUUGGUGGGGUAAAGGCUUACCAAGACGACGAUCUCUAGCUGUUCUGAGAGGAAGAUCAGCCACACUGGGACUGAGACACGGCCCAGACUCCUACGGGAGGCAGCAGUGGGGAAUAUUGCACAAUGGGGGGAACCCUGAUGCAGCCAUGCCGCGUGUGUGAAGAAGGCCUUCGGGUUGUAAAGCACUUUCAGUUGUGAGGAAAGGUUGGUAGUUAAUACCUGCCAGCUGUGACGUUAACAACAGAAGAAGCACCGGCUAACUCCGUGCCAGCAGCCGCGGUAAUACGGAGGGUGCGAGCGUUAAUCGGAAUUACUGGGCGUAAAGCGCACGCAGGCGGUUUGUUAAGCGAGAUGUGAAAGCCCCGGGCUCAACCUGGGAGGGUCAUUUCGAACUGGCAGACUAGAGUUUUGGAGAGGGGAGUGGGAUUCCAGGUGUAGCGGUGAAAUGCGUAGAUAUCUGGAGGAACAUCAGUGGCGAAGGCGACUCCCUGGUCAAAGACUGACGCUCAUGUGCGAAAGUGUGGGUAGCGAACAGGAUUAGAUACCCUGGUAGU